This 3257-nucleotide long non-coding RNA is filed under the name Homo sapiens (human). RNAcentral's name for it is "HSALNT0041923". Lineage: Eukaryota; Metazoa; Chordata; Mammalia; Primates; Hominidae. The record is from RNAcentral.
AAAAUCUAAAGAGAAAGAGUGGCUACCUCUGCCAGGAGUGGAAAUGACCACCGAGGGACAGUCUUGAUAUUCAAACUAGGACCAAAAUGAUGAAAUUUGAGAUAGAGAGGGAGACUUGACAGGACAUUCCAGGCAGAAGGAACCAAUUGUGUGGGGAGUUCUGAAAGGGAGCACUGUGUUUACACAGGGGUGAGAAUGUGGGGGUGGGGAGGAUAAGAUUUAUGGGGGCAAUGCGAGGGGAAUGGCAUGUGAUAAAGACAGAGAAGUGCAUAUGCAACAAGCUUGUCACUGAGGAGAAGAAUGACAAUGAUGGGCAUAGUUUGCUUUGCUUUGUUUUCUUAUUUUUGAGAAAGUAACAUUGUCACCAAGACUGCCUGGAAGAGAAAGAGAGACAAGUGAGAAGAUUCUUGCCAUCAUUCAGGCUAAUGUUGAUGAUAAUUGAGCAUAGUAAAGGUGGAGAGGAGGAGAUGCCACAUUUGGAAAGCAAUUCUAACAGAAUCCACAUGAUUUCAAGUCUAAUUAUGCAUAUAUUCUGAGUUAUCAAUGAUUCAAGUGGUCCUAUUAUUGCAAGACUACAAAGACAACAGCAUCAGAAGGUUUUCAGUUCUGGAAAAUCUAUGCAAAAUAGAAGUUAGCAGAUGGAUCAAGAAACCCACAGAACAAUGUUUGUGUUGAAGAAUUCUCAGCAAGUGCCCUGUGAGAGUGCUCCCAUCUGGAAAGGACUGCAGCUGUCUUUUGGCAUGAACUAGAUGGGUGUUUGUAACAGGUUCAUGUCAACUCUUUUAUAGAAAAUCAACUCCUAAAAUCAUUGUAAAAUUAAAGAGUUAUUUUUAUGAAUUUCUCCAUCCUGUAUUAAUUCAGGCACCUAACUCCAUUUUGAAUUUAAAGUGGCCUUGGCCAUUUUGUCAAUUAUCAUCUUUGCCUUGGUAGAUGAAGAAACACAUUCUGCUGGUCAGAGAGUGAGGCUGGUUAGAGUGGACCUGCCAAAAGGAUUUGGGAUUCAGAGAAAUUAUAAUUCUCCCAAGAAAUACCAGGAAGAAACUUCUGCACGGCAACAGUAGAACCGAUCACCUCUUAGCAACCUGAAGUCACAGCAGACACCAGCCACAUAGCAACUAAUACUGGACUUCUGGGGAAAAUAAAUCCAUGCCAACAGUGUCUGCAUGUUCAGGAGCCUGUGAUUUUUCACUCACAUAAAAAACUUUUAGUUUUAGUUAAAAAUAUUUUUAUUUCAAAGACCAGGCACAGUGGCUCACACCUGUAAUCCCAGCACUUUGGGAGGCCAAGGCGGGCGGAUCACCUGAGGCCAGGAGUUCAAGACCAGCCUGAUGCAUGUGGAGAAACCCCAUCUCUACUAAAAACACAUAAUUAGCCAGGCAUAAUGGCACACACCUGUAAUCCCAGCUACACGGGAGGCUGAGGCAGGAGAAUUGCUUGGACCUGGGAGGUAGAGGUUGCAAUGAGCCAAGGUCAUGCUAUUGCACUCUAGCCAGGGAAACAAGAGCAAAACUUCAUCAUCCGCCCCCCAAAAAGAGCCAAAACCAAAUAUAUAUAUAUAUUUUUUUUCAAAAGUGCCUUAACCAAAUGACUAGAGAAGCAAUUACCUUUUAAAAUCUUAUUUAUUGUUUAUUAUAUAUUUUGAAAUCAAGGAAUCAACAGAUAUUCAUAAUAUAUGCCCUGAGGUCUAGAGGGAUAAAAUAAAUUUAGCACGUUACUAAAUCAAUCUCAUUAUAACAAAUACUAAUUGUAUUUUUCAGCGUUUCAAAGAAAUUUCAUAACCUUAUGUGUAAUAGGUGAAAUACAUAGAUAAAGAGUAAUUACUAAAGGACUCCCAUUGCUCUAAAGAACAUAGUUUAACGUUUUUAAAUUUAUGAAACCAGAAUAGACUCUUAUUCUCACUGAUUUCAUUUUGGUUAUUGUUUAUAUAAUGUUUGUGCUUUUCUUGUGGAUUUUACUUGGGUGCUAUGGACAAGAAAUAGAAAUUGAAGACCUAGUACAAGCCUCUGACAUAGCAUUGUGACACCUGGUUCAUGGAGAAAAGGGGACAUCUCCAUCAGGAUCUUUGCUCUUUGAUUAAUGAGGAGACAUUCAUUACAGCUCAGGAAUAGACAGCACCUCCACAUACUGGGAACUUAAUUUAUUAGUCUAAGGGGCAGGGGUUAAGGAACAUCAGAGAGACAUGAGAAAGAAGAAAAGAAAGGACAAGAAAAUUCUUGGCUGAGGCAAUUCAGAGAUGUGGAGUUGCAAAUAUAAGAGGUUUAACAAUAGUAAUAAUACUUCCAGAACUGUUUUGAGUAUAAAGUUCUUUAAAUGAUAAAUAAAAGAUCCUAAAUGCUAAUGAUCCAGCUAGAUGUAUUAUUUUAAAUGCACCCAUGCCACUGCUGUUUGCCUACAUAUAAAAUUGAUUAUAUUAGAUGAUAUUUAAAGAUAAAGGGAAAAACAGAAUUAGCCAAUAAAAAGAGAUUUAAAAAAAAUGCUUACCACUUCUUGCCUAAAUAGCUCAGUAGCCAAGUCAACAGAAACAUAUUCGAUAGGAUCACUUGCUUUCAAGCAUGACCAUUCUUUGGGUCUGGGUAGAAACUAGGGCUGUCUGGAAGCCAGAGACCCAACAUAAGGUAGCAGUAGAGCUGAUUUCUGCUUCCAUCACCUCUCUCCACAGUUGCAGCAAUUCUCCAAGAGGGCUGGGACCUUUGCCAUAACUCCUUCCAAGAGUGUGUAUGUAUCACUUCAGAUAGAUCAAAGUGUAGUUAUUCAAAAUUUCUUACUUUGAAAGAAACAAAUGCAUUUCUUCUAAGGAUUGCCAUGCAAGUUAUCACAUUAACCAUAGAGUUUAUUGUUGCUAGAACAAAUAGUGAUGUCAUGUCAUUUUGAAGAAUCAUAGCUGUGCCAGAAACUGGCUAGCUGUUCACCAAAUCUUCUUCUUGUUUUUCUUCCUCUAUAUUCAAGUAGAUUGUAUUUCUCUCUCUUCCUUGCUGUUGGUUGUGGCCACUAAACUAAGCUCUAGCCUAUCCCUUUUUAGUGGAAGUGCAUCACCUACAAAAGCCUCCCCCACACAAGGCCCUCCAUACCCUUUCCCUUUCUGCCAGUGCAGUAGGGGAGCUCAGUUGUGUUUGGGUGCUAUGCUGCAGAAGGCAAAGCCACGGAGUGAAAGGACUCUGGUUCCCUGAAUCAUCACUUAGGAGAGAGCCAACCACCAAUCCAAAACACCUGUUUAGGAUUUUAUGGAGCCAACAUAUAAAUUUCCAUUGUAUUUGUAC